AUGCCUAUUCACACACCUCUUAUUAUUAGGAUACCACUUUAAUUAUAAUAUAAAACCAUCUUUUCCACAUCUUUCUAGACCAAACACAAUCAUUCAAUCUCUUUGCUUCACUUUCAACAUGAAACACACUCCUUCCUCGCUCAUUCCUUUUAUAAUUAUAUAUAGUCUCUCCAUCACCUAAUCUUUUUCAUAAUUACUACUAAUUCAUAUCACAAACAUACCAAUU
Molecule: long non-coding RNA, 226 nt
Filed under: Trifolium pratense (red clover)
Lineage: Eukaryota; Viridiplantae; Streptophyta; Magnoliopsida; Fabales; Fabaceae
Description: long non-coding RNA (TPRA_LNC005450)
Source: RNAcentral